CGUUUAACUACGAAGUGGAAAAAAAAAAAAGUGAACUCACUAAGCGAGUCCAAGCGUUCUUUGGCGCUCAAAAAUCCCCAAAUCCUCGGCGAAAUUGGAAACCCUAACUUCCGAAUCGAAUCGAAGAUCGUAUUGUUUCCGGGUUGGAUGGGUGGUACGGACGCGAAAGACAUUCUCGGGUUGCCGAAGACGCCACUCUACGAGAAGAAAGCUCGACCCCAGAAGGAGUCUCAUAGAAAACCCGAUGGCAUUUCGCGCGAGGUUUAUGCGCUCACGGGGGGCGUUGCGCCUCCUCUUAUGCCUUCAAUUGAUGUUACCCACUUAAAGCGUCCUCCUCCGCCUCAUGAGAAGGUUGCUUGGCAAUGGCUUCCCAUCAACAGUUCCGCUAGGAAAGAUGAUUUGCAGCUUUACCAUUGGGUAAGAAGUUCCUUAUCUUAUAACAGAAAGCUUGAGCAUUUCCUUCUUUCUAAUGCCAUUUCUUUUGUCUUUGGAUCUAAAUAUUUAUCUUUACAGGUUAGAGUGGUAAAUGGUGUUCCACCAACAGGUGACUAUUCCUUUGCCAAAUAUAACAAGUCAGUUGAUAUCUUGAAAUACACGGACGAUGAUUAUGAGAAUCUUUUAACGGACCCUGUGUGGACCAAGGAAGAGACAGAUCAGUUGUUUCAAUUGUGUGAAAGGUUUGAUCUCCGUUUCACUGUCAUUGCUGAUCGCUUCCCAUUAUCCCGGACUCUUGAGGAAUUGAAGGAUCGUUACUAUAGUGUGACUCGGGCCCUGCUGCGUGCUAGAGCUCAGUCUCCAGCAGAUUUGGCAAACCAUCCUCUGAUGAAGGAGCCUUAUGAUAUGACACGCGAUAGAGAGCGCAAACGUGCAUUGUCAAUGGUCCUGUCCCAGAGUAGACACCAGGAGAAGAAAGAUGCUGAGAUUCUUGCUGAGGCUAAAAGAAUCACAGAGAUUCGUUUGGCUGCACGUCGUGCGGCAGAUCUUGAUGUGUCUGGGAAUGAGAAUAUCGGUCUUGAUAAAGCUGAUGGAGGUCCAGGGUGUAGUGUAUCUCCAUCUUCCAAUUCUCAACUUCCUGCAACUGCCGUGGCCCCAUCAACACUAACUAUGGCAGAUUAUGCCUCUACACUUGCUUCUCUGCGCAUGCUUCAUGUGUACUUGAGAACCUAUGGACUUGAACAAAUGGUUCAAGCUGCAAGCUCUGCUGUUGGUCUUCGAACGAUCAAGCGCGUUGAGCAGACUCUGCAAGAUCUCGGGGUUUGUUUUUGCUUUCGUGCUCUGUUUAACUCUUUCGUGCCCGUUGACUGAGCAAUGAGACUUUAAUUAAUUGUACAUUAUAAAGGGCACUCUCUCUCACUGAAGGUUAAUUUAAAGCCAAAGGUUCCUACAAAAACUGUAUGUGAUGAGCAUCUUGAAUUACGGAAAGAAAUUCUAACACUACUGAAUCUUCAGAAGCAGCUACUGUAUAAAGAAUCAGAAGGCUCAUCACACCGUGAAGGGGCCUAUGCCGCAAUGCCAGAUACUCCAAAGGAUCGUGUUUUCGCAUCUGAGCCAUUCAGUUUUGGAGGAAUUUCAGCUGAAAGACCAAUCAAGAAGGAACCGAAGCGCAAGGGUCCUGGAAGGCAGGCAGACACUCCUUCACCAGCUCAUAAGCGGCCUAGAAAAUUGAAAGCAUCCGAUCUCUAAAAAUGUUCUCACCACUGAUUCACUAUUUUCAUUUGCAUGUUUUGCCGGUGACGCUGCACUAUUUUGAAUUGUCCCAAGAAUAAAUUUGUCAAUUGUGAUUCCAAGUUUUAUCAAGUGUAGACCAGUCUAAAACACAAGAACCUACAGUACAGUCAUCAUGUUCAAAACACGAGUUUAAGGGAUUAGUAAAUUUAAACCAAUGCAAUUGUAUUAUUAAA
Brassica napus (rape) is the source of this 1901-nucleotide RNA transcript. It is a transcript of the gene named SWR1-complex protein 4, with no coding region annotated. The record is from RefSeq and is a predicted model, not a curated record. The transcript is spliced from 15 exons. NCBI's taxonomy places the organism in Eukaryota, Viridiplantae, Streptophyta, Magnoliopsida, Brassicales, Brassicaceae.